AUGAAAGAAAGACGAGUCCAGGCCACGACCCAUAGAGUCUGCUGCAGCCCUGACAACAAGGAUGGGACCCAAGCCCCAACACAGGCAACCCAUAGAGUUGUCUGCUGCAGCCCUGACAACAAGGAUGGGACCCAAGCCCCAACACAGGCAACCCAUAGAGUUGUCUGCUGCAGCCCUGACAACAAGGAUGGGACCCAAGCCCCAACACAGGCAACCCAUAGAGUUGUCUGCUGCAGCCCUGACAACAAGGAUGGGACCCAAGCCCCAACACAGGCAACCCAUAGAGUUGUCUGCUGCAGCCCUGAUAACAAGGAUGGGACCCAAGCCCCAACACAGGCAACCCAUAGAGUUGUCUGCUGCAGCCCUGAUAACAAGGAUGGGACCCAAGCCCCAACACAGGCAACCCAUAGAGUUGUCUGCUGCAGCCCUGACAACAAGGAUGGGACCCAAGCCCCAACACAGGCAACCCAUAGAGUUGUCUGCUGCAGCCCUGAUAACAAGGAUGGGACCCAAGCCCCAACACAGGCAACCCAUAGAGUUGUCUGCUGCAGCCCUGAUAACAAGGAUGGGACCCAAGCCCCAACACAGGCAACCCAUACCAAACACAUACUAGUAUGGAUGAAAACAUCUAUACAGUUACGUAUCGCAAUAUUCUUUUUGGACAAUAUUCUAUUGACAUUUGACUCCAAGUAUCAAUUUGUAAUGUUUUUAGUUUUGCUACUGUUGGUAGCGUUAGAUAGCUCUAGUCGGCUGUAUCUAUGCCAAAACGCUGCUAUUCUUCAUCCUACAGAGGGUAGUGUGAACGCCACAGUACAUCACUGGGGCAAAGCUGCCUGCCAUCCAGGACCUCUACACCAGGCGGUGUCAGAGGAAGGACCUAAAAAUUGUUAUAGCCUCGCUACUGUAUAUAGCCUCGCUACUGUAUAUAGCCUCUCUACUGUAUAUAGCCUCGCUACUCUAUAUAGCCUCGCCACUCUAUAUAGCCUCGCUACUUUUAUUGCCUCGCUACUCUAUAUAGCCUCACUACUGUAUAUAGCCUCUCUACUGUAUAUAGCCUCGCUACUCUAUAUAGCCUCGCCACUCUAUAUAGCCUCGCUACUUUUAUUGCCUCGCUACUCUAUAUAG
Molecule: long non-coding RNA, 1125 nt
Filed under: Oncorhynchus mykiss (rainbow trout)
Lineage: Eukaryota; Metazoa; Chordata; Actinopteri; Salmoniformes; Salmonidae
Description: lncRNA (ENSOMYG00000057547.1)
Source: RNAcentral